GCAGUCUGUUCAUCUCCAGCAUGUGGAAAGUGCUGCUCCUGGGUCUGUAUGUAGUAUUGGCUGUGAGAGGACUGGCAAAGGGUGCUCCUUUCCAACCAGAAGAUAAAUGGAAGCCUCUUGAUAACCCCCGAAACAGAGACCUGUUUUUCAGAACGCUCCAGGCUUACUUCUCGGGCAGGGGUCUCGAUCUCAGGAAGUUCCCAACUUCUUUCACUGUGAGCAAUGAAGGACCAAGGCUCUACUCAGAUCCUAUUGCUUCUGCAUUUGCAGAUUAUGAAGAAAAGAAAAAAUCCUUUCAGAACUAUUUCAAAGGCUGAAAGAUUCUGCUGAUGAAGGCAUUAACUUCAGAAGUCCAUGCCAAGAGGAAACCUUCACAGAAAAAUUUUACUGCUUCGACUUUUUAACUGUUACCUGACAAUUCCGAAGUUUCUUCACUGUUUCUGCCAGUGGAAUCUGGUGUUCUGCUGCAAUGAGCAUUAUUCCGUCUGUUGACAAAGCUAUGUCUGUGAGCAGAAUUGUGCUUAAAUGUGAAUAAAUCGGGAGUGCAACAGCGUGCA
RNAcentral lists this long non-coding RNA (557 nucleotides) under Serinus canaria (Common canary). RNAcentral describes it as "lncRNA (ENSSCAG00000003063.1)". The record is from RNAcentral. Lineage: Eukaryota; Metazoa; Chordata; Aves; Passeriformes; Fringillidae.